Molecule: ribosomal RNA, 497 nt
Filed under: uncultured bacterium
Lineage: Bacteria
Description: partial 16S ribosomal RNA
Rfam family: Bacterial small subunit ribosomal RNA
Source: RNAcentral
GAUGAACGCUGGCGGCGUGCCUAAUACAUGCAAGUCGAGCGAACAGACGAGGAGCUUGCUCCUCUGACGUUAGCGGCGGACGGGUGAGUAACACGUGGAUAACCUACCUAUAAGACUGGGAUAACUUCGGGAAACCGGAGCUAAUACCGGAUAAUAUAUUGAACCGCAUGGUUCAAUAGUGAAAGACGGUUUUGCUGUCACUUAUAGAUGGAUCCGCGCCGCAUUAGCUAGUUGGUAAGGUAACGGCUUACCAAGGCAACGAUGCGUAGCCGACCUGAGAGGGUGAUCAGCCACACUGGAACUGAGACACGGUCCAGACUCCUACGGGAGGCAGCAGGAGGGAAUCUUCCGCAAUGGGCGAAAGCCUGACGGAGCAACGCCGCGUGAGUGAUGAAGGUCUUCGGAUCGUAAAACUCUGUUAUUAGGGAAGAACAAAUGUGUAAGUGACUAUGCACGUCUUGACGGUACCUAAUCAGAAAGCCACGGCUAACUACGUG